This 2537-nucleotide long non-coding RNA is filed under the name Nicotiana benthamiana. Its description in RNAcentral is "long non-coding RNA (NBEN_LNC035187)". Lineage: Eukaryota; Viridiplantae; Streptophyta; Magnoliopsida; Solanales; Solanaceae. The record is from RNAcentral.
GCGCCUAAAGCAAAUACACACUUUUAAGUUUGCGAGGGCCAUGGAAAAUUCAACUAAUAGCACACUGUGAUUUCUAAAGAUUCAGGAAUAAUUAAACGAGGGCCAUGCAUUUUGAGAUUUUAUUUGGCACGGCAUACCUCGAUUCCAAUUUUUAAAUGAAAUUCAAAACUAAGCUUUUGAGGACCAUAAAUUGUACAUUUGGCUAAUAUAGCACACUUCAAACUAAACUAUGGGAGUUAAUUAAUUAAAAGGGCAAGGGGACAAAAAAUUAUUUUUUAGAAAAAAAAAUGUAAUGUUCAAACCAAAAGCAUUAAUCAAAACACUAGUGUUGCGUUGAAAUUCAAACGAUCAGUGGGUUGGAGUGUCCGGCCCAAUCCUUCUAUUGAAUGCUCGGACGUUCUCUAACGAAGAAACAAGGAAAUUUGGUCUCUCUUGAAGCCCAAAAGUACCGAUGCACACAAGGGUGUCGGCAUUUCUGAAACAAUUAGCCCAUUGCAUGAUUCAAACACAUAAAGCAGGUUACAAAAUGUAUUGCUUCAUGAAAAAUUAAAUAACAGGUUAUUAUCUUUACAACGGAUAUAAAACACAUUUUAGUUUCAAAUUAUCAUUAUUAUAAAAAUAUAGUCCUACAAUACUCAUACACAAUCACUGGCAAUUUUAAUAUCCAGUACCAUUCCUGAUUUUUAAACAAACAGUACUACACGGUUUAAUAAAUAGAAUAAUGAACACUUACCAACAUAAAUUUUAUUUUAUAAUUAACAUACACUAAGGUUCCCAUGUACCAUUAACCUCAUUCUGAGAAUAAUUCAAGACACAUAGCGCAAACCACAACACAAUUCUCAAAUAAACAAAGCAUCGGUUAACAUGAACCUUGACUGAACAUUUUGGUUUCAAAUCUGUGUUCGUCACUUUAGCACCUCAAAAAACAAUUAUUCCCAAAAGAAAAUACUAAUUUCAACUGAACUAAAGCAAUUCUCCACAUAUGUGAUUCAAUUUAUCUUCUUAUACUACAAUCCCAACAAGUCAAUACAUUCAAAACUAUAUUUCAAUAAGCUCACGCCCAAGCUACCAGAUUUGAAUAAAUGUCCAAGUUUACACAUCAAGUUCAAUCUAGCGACAUUGCAUUCAAUAACAUAAAAGGGAGCAUGAUUAUAAAUGAUGGAUAACUAACUUAAAUACACAUGUGGAUGAACUCAAACUACAGAGACAUGAAACUGAUUAAAUCUGCAAAGCCCACAGCCUCACGUAAGGAUGCAUUUACUGGAGAGGUUUUAGGGCUGAAGAAAUAAGCUCAUUUUGCACUUAAUACCUUUUGCAAUUUUGGUUUUUGCUCAAGUAUCCUCAAUUGUAAAAUUAGAUUUUCAGUCUAGUCCCACUCCUCAGCUUCUAGGAAGAUUCCUAUUCUGUUAAAUAGGAUUCUUUCACCUAGACUUCCUAAAUUACCCUUAAUACCUUGUUAAUCACCUCAAGGACCCAAAACAUCAGACAAACGGCCCAAAGGUCUUGGUCUACUACAUUAGCAGGUCCUAUGGCCUCUAGGUUCCUUAAUCUUGGGGCCAUAAUCGUGAUUCAAAAGGCCAUAGACCGCGACCAAUUAAACCUAGAAAUUUUGCAUUCCGGCAUCAAAAGAAAAAUUAAUGGAACAGAUCAAAAGAAACAAGCAACAUAAAAUAAAAAAUACUAAAGAAGAAAAGUGCUAACUAAAAUGCUGAUAAUUAUUUAUGUGACUUAAAUCUUAAGCAUGCAACAUACUGAUUCAAACAAACAAAAGCAGAAAAAUAAAAGAAACUAAGAAGAAAUAAAUAACAUGCAAAUUGAAUUGCAUAUAAGGACAGACAGAAAAGAUAUGAGGUAGAAAGGGGAGAGAGAUAGAAGCAGAGGAACAUCAGAAAAGCAGGAAAAAAUGACGAAAGGCAAUGAAAUACCUAAAAUAGCCAAAUGGGAGAAGGGCUCAAACGGCUUCUAAUAUUUUUCGAUUCAAAGCAAAAAUGAGUGUUAGUCGGUUUGUUCUUGUGAGAUCAAACGUCUAGCACUAAUUUUGACCCAAAGUCAACUUCGGGAGCUAAGAGAGAAAAUGAGUCAGGCCCUUUAAAUAAGGAAUCAAAGGAGAGAAUAAGUGUCAGUUUCCACAUUUGAGAUCUGAAACUAAGUAGAAGUGAAAAGGAUUUAGGUGAAAUUUGUAAUGGUUCAAUGUUUAAUGGAACAUGGGGAUUGUGUGGUUGAAAUUUGGUGAGGGUUUAAAGCUGUCUUGCAGGUGAAAAUGGUGACCUCCUAGAGGUGGCAUUAGGUUAGGGGGGAGAUGGUGAGAUUCUGAUGAGGAGACGAUAGGAAAGGGUGUACUAGGUUAAUGGGGAUUUUCAGACAAUCUUAUGUAAUUGGGGUAAGGAGCUUGAGUUGUUGGAUGCAAAUAAACGAAUGACGGAACGAACUCAAAACUACGUCAUUUGCUUAGGCUAAGGCAUUGGGGAAAAAUUGGGUCUAGAAUUUGAACGGGUUUGGACGAGUUGAGGGGUGAAAGUGAUUUGGGCUGGGGAAGC